UUAAAAAUUAAUUUUUUUUUAUAAAUUUAUUUUAUAAUUUAAAGUAUAAAUAAAAUUUUAAAAAAAAUUAUAUAAAAUUUAAAUAAUUUAAUAAUAUAUAAAUUAAUAUUUAUAAUAAUUAAUUAAAUGAAAAUUUAUAAUAGAAAAUUAUAAUUUAUUAUUAAUAAAUAAAGUGCCAGCAAUUGCGGUUAUACUUUAAAUAAAAAUAAAUUAAAAUAAUUAUAAAUAUAUAUAAAAUAUAUAAAAUAAAUAAUAUUUAACUAAUUUAUUUUUUUAUGGUGAAAUAUAGAUAAAUAUUAAAAGUUAGAUAAUUUUAUUUAAUGAAUAAUAAAAUUAAAAAAAUUUAUUUAAUAAACUAGGAUUAGAUACCCUAUUAUUUAAAUGAAAAUAAAAUAUAAUUAAAUAUUAAAUGUUAAUCAUUAAAAAUAAAAAAUUUGGCGGUAUUUUAUGAUUUAGAGGAACUUGUUAAUUAAUUUGAUAACCCACGAAUGGAACUACUUAAUUUAAUUUUUAUAUAUUGUUGUUGAAAAAUUAUAUUAAAAGAUUAAUAAUUUAAAAAUUUAAUUAUAAUUAUAAUUCAAAUCAAAAUGUAGAAUAAUUAAGAUUUAAAUGAGUUACAUUUAAUUUUAAUUAAUUGAAAUAAAUUUUUAAAAUUUUAUAAAUAUUGAAUUUAAUUGUAAAUUUAAAAAAAUAUUUAAAUUGAAUUUUAAUUAAAAUAUGUACAAAUUGCCCGUCAUUUUCAUUAAUAAAAAUUUAUGGAAAAAGUCGUAACAAAGUAAAUAUAUUGGAAAAUGUAUUUAGAAUGAA
Molecule: non-coding RNA, 807 nt
Filed under: Anoplolepis gracilipes
Lineage: Eukaryota; Metazoa; Arthropoda; Insecta; Hymenoptera; Formicidae
Source: RNAcentral